AUUGCUUCUUGGCCUUUUGGCUAAGAUUGAGUGUAGUAUUUGUUUUUAUUAGUUUAAUAUCUGAUACGUCCUCUAUCCGAAGACAAUAUGGUAAAUGGAUUUUUGGAAAUAGGAGAUGGAAUGGGAUCUUGCUCCGUCCCCUUCAUGCAUUGACCUGGUAUUGCAGUACCUCCAGGGAUGGUGCACCCCUU
Molecule: small nuclear RNA, 191 nt
Organism: Tupaia belangeri (northern tree shrew)
Lineage: Eukaryota; Metazoa; Chordata; Mammalia; Scandentia; Tupaiidae
Gene: U2
Rfam family: U2 spliceosomal RNA
About the family: U2 is a small nuclear RNA (snRNA) component of the spliceosome (involved in pre-mRNA splicing). Complementary binding between U2 snRNA (in an area lying towards the 5' end but 3' to hairpin I) and the branchpoint sequence (BPS) of the intron results the bulging out of an unpaired adenosine, on the BPS, which initiates a nucleophilic attack at the intronic 5' splice site, thus starting the first of two transesterification reactions that mediate splicing.
Source: Ensembl